This 465-nucleotide ribosomal RNA is filed under the name uncultured bacterium. RNAcentral describes it as "partial 16S ribosomal RNA". It matches the Rfam family "Bacterial small subunit ribosomal RNA", at positions 338 to 795 of the family's 1533-position model. The record is from RNAcentral.
CCUACGGGUGGCAGCAGUAGGGAAUCUUCCACAAUGGGCGAAAGCCUGAUGGAGCAACGCCGCGUGGGUGAAGAAGGUCUUCGGAUCGUAAAACCCUGUUGUUAGAGGAGAAAGUGCGUGAGAGUAACUGUUUACGAUUCGACGGUAUCUAUCAAGAAAGUCACGGCUAACGACGUGCCAGCAGCCGCGGUAAUACGUAGGGGGAAAGCGUUAUCCGGUUUUAUUGGGUGGAAAGGGAACGCAGGCGGUUUUUUAAGUCUGAUGUGAAAGCCUUCGGCUUAACCGGUGUAGUGCAUUGUAAUCUGUGAGACUUGAGAGUAGAAGAGGAGAGCGGAAUGUCAGGUGUAGCGGUGAAAUGCGUAGAGAUAUGGAAGAACACCAGUUGCGAAAGCAGCUUUCUGGUCUAUAACUGACGUUGAGGUUCGAAAGCGUGGGGAGCAAACAGGAUUAGAUACCCCUGUAGUC